ACCAGACUCCUACGGGAGGCAGCAGUGGGGGAUAUUGCGCAAUGGGGGAAACCCUGAUGCAGCGACGCCGCGUGUAGGAAGACGGUCCUCUGGAUUGUAAACUACUGUCCCCAGGGACGAAGAUGACGGUACCUGGGGAGGAAGCUCCGGCUAAUUACGUGCCAGCAGCCGCGGUAAUACGUAGGGAGCGAGCGUUGUCCGGAAUUACUGGGUGUAAAGGGAGCGUAGGCGGGGAUGCAAGUUGGGUGUUAAAUCUACCGGCUCAACUGGUAGUCGCACUCAAAACUGCAGCCCUUGAGUGAAGUAGAGGCAGGCGGAAUUCCUAGUGUAGCGGUGAAAUGCGUAGAUAUUAGGAGGAACACCAGUGGCGAAGGCGGUCUGCUGGACAGCAACUGACGCUGAGGCGCGAAAGCGUGGGGAGCAAACAGGAUUAGAUGCCCCGGUAGA
Molecule: ribosomal RNA, 447 nt
Filed under: uncultured bacterium
Lineage: Bacteria
Description: bacterial SSU rRNA
Rfam family: Bacterial small subunit ribosomal RNA
Source: RNAcentral